RNAcentral lists this long non-coding RNA (13468 nucleotides) under Salvia miltiorrhiza (redroot sage). RNAcentral's name for it is "long non-coding RNA (SMIL_LNC005219)". Lineage: Eukaryota; Viridiplantae; Streptophyta; Magnoliopsida; Lamiales; Lamiaceae. The record is from RNAcentral.
CCACAAACAACCGAAUAUUGCGAAGAAAACUCAAAAAUAAACAUAUUAAACAAUUUCUCCAACCCGUUAGAAAAUUGACUAGAAUCAGAGGCUUCCCCCAUCAAAGUACUAUAAUUAACAAAUAUAAGUUCCAGCGAAAAUGAACAGACGACGAAACAACUAAUUCCAUCACACGAAACUAAACAAACGCCAUCGCAGUAAACUAGAGAUCUCUAGAAAAGAGAAGAAGGGAGAUACCAUGGCUUACGGCUAGGUAAGGUCUCUGUAAAAAUGCGAUUUGCAGCAGAGUUCGUCUCAAUUAGGGUUUAGAGUUAUAUAAAAUGGGGCUUAUGAAUUAUGAUGGGCCGGCCCAAAUUCUCAAAUUGACCUUUUAAUUGGAAGUGGUUGGAACUAGAACGUUCAUUCAUGACAUGACGAACAUCAAAAUUAAAUAAUAUCUUUCAAUAAUAAUAAAAAAUAAAAAUAUAAAUUAAUAAUAAAAUAAUACACAUCAAUUACUCAAUACAAUCUUGAAUUUGAAACGUAUAUUUUCAACUUUGUAUAAAGUAUAAUGAUAAUGAUAGAUAUUAAAUCAAUUUAAAUUAUUUGAUAUGAAAAUUGACAUUACACAUCAUCAUCAUCAUCAUCAUUAUGAUUAUUAUUAUUAUUAUUAUUAUAGAGUAUUAAGCAUCAUAAUAAAUAAAUUAAUAUUUUCAUACACACAUAUAAAUAAAAAGUUAUAAAAUGUUAAUGAUGAGAGAAAAAAAUAUAUUUUUAAUUUAAAAUUUUUCAUAAUUUAUUCAUUUUAAAUUCAGUUUUGAUGAUUUUUUUAUACCAUAUUUAAGAUAUUUUCACAAACUUAAAUUUAAGAUGUAGUAUAUUAAGUACUUUUUUCAUGAAUUAUAUUUGAUGAUGUUUAGAAAAAAAAUUAAAGAAAAAAAAAUAGAGAAAAAUAGUGAAAAAAAUUAGUAAAAGAAGAGAGAGAAAAUGGAGGGAAAAUUGGAGGAAAAAACUCCUCUUUUAUAUAUUAUAUAGAUUUANUAUAUUUGAUGAUGUUUAAAAAAAAUUGAAGAAAAAAAUACAGAAAAAAUAGUGAAAAAAAGUAAAAGAAGAGAGAGAAAAAUAGAGAGAAAAGUUGGAGGAAAAAAACUCCUCUUUUAUAUUAUAUAGAUAUAUAGAUAUAUGAAAAACAAAAUUUAGAUCCUGUUUUUUUUUUUUUAAUUCCAUUAGAUCCUGUUUCAAAACACACAUUUGAUUCAAUUUUUGAUUUAAUUUAAUGUACAUUUAAAUUAGUUUAUCAAAUUUUAUUGUAGUCUUGUCAUUAGUGUAUUAAAAAUCUAUCUAAAUAUGAGGAUAUAUAUAAAAAAAAAAUUACGUGAGAAUCUAAAUAUGAGGAUGAUGUGAAAAAGCAAUUUUUACGUGAGAAUUAUGAGAAGGUCGCAUAAAUUCAUAUAUUUCAUGAAUAAGAAAUCACCAAUGUAGCCUAAUAAACAUAAUAGAGGUGGCACGAGUUUUUAAAAAAAUGUGAUAAUUGUGUUUGAGUGAAAAUUGGGUCAUAUGUGGGUCAUAUGUCUCUUUGUGGGUUUCUUUUCAAAUAAUGAAAGGGUGAUUUUAUACAUAGCCCCCUUUUUACUCAUUGUAGCCUCCUAAUUAAAGUUAAUAAUAAAAAUAUUAAUAGAAUUACUAUUUUAUCCUGGUAGUCCUAAAUUACAGGGGGCUACGUAUAGAAAAAAAGCAAAAUACUGGAGCACCGUAUAACCUCAUACAUAUGAAGAAGAAGAAGAUUAAAAAGGAAAUUUGUUCAGGGUCUGCUAAAAAAUAUUAAGGAAAAAUAAACAUUAAAGCUUGAGUUGAACAAGAAACCUCUAAUAAUAAUCCCAUUGGUAUAGCUGCAAGCCUGCAACUAAAACAGAGGGGAAAAAAGUGAUUCUGCUAUGUUUUGUUAGGCCGACUCAAGUGUGAAAUUUAUGUUGAUUUCUGUUUAUCCUAAUUUUGAUUUUAUAGUAAAGUUGUGACAUUGCUACUAUAUACUAUGCUUUCAUAUUCUAAAUAUAUGCACUUUUGUAUUGAAUUGGAUGGUUGGAAUUCAGUCGCGCGAUUAUGUUAAUUUUAACAUUGAUUAAUGAGAUGUUGGUGACUGACUAGGUUUUGUGUAGAAGUGGGGUUUUGAUUACUGUUUUUGUGCAUUAAGUGAUUUUUGAGCAGAUUGUGGUUAUCUAAUUUGUGAGAAGAAUAGGAUAUUUUGGCAAUUUGUAUUUUAUUUCGUUCUUCAAUUAUCUCGUGAAACACAAUUGUUGACGAAGUGCAGGAAAAUUAAUUUUUAAUUAUCUUAAACUUUUAGUGUUCUAGACGAUCUGAUUUAUUGAAGAAGUGAAAUUAUACAUGUAAAUUGUGGUGUUUGUAUAUUAUAAUAUUUAAAAGUAAAUUUGUUGAUGCCUAUAAUAGAAGCAACAAGAUAACAUAUCACCAACAGUUGGUUAAAUUCCAUCGUAGAAGUUAUUUCUUCAAAUGUUGGGGCUAUGGUGAUGUAGUUAUUAACUUGUUAUUUAUUAGAAAAUGAAUUUGUAUGCUGUAGGGCUAAAAUUGUAAUUUUAUAAAUACUAUUAUUAUUAUUUUAUUGAAGGGGCUGUAGUGAGAAAAAAGGGGGCUAUGUAUAAAAUUACCCAUAAUGAAAUGUCACAAUUUUUAGGAACAUCCCAAUAAGGUCAUAAUUUUUAGGGACGAAGAGAGUAUUUAUUUGUUCAGUCUGAUUAUUUUUUGUUCAGAAAUUUGACUUAUGCAUGUAUUCUCCAUUAUCCAGAAAGAAUAAGAAAAAUAAGAAAAAAAAUAAGGUCAUGUUUCAUGGGACGGAGAGAGUAAUAAGGUCAUAAAUUUGACUUUUGUUCAGUAUUUAUUCGUUUAUUUUGAUGAAAACUAAGAAAAAAUAUAUAUAUUUUUUCUAUUUUUUUCCUUUUCCACAAGUUUUCACAUGUUUAUUAUGAUAGAAUUUUUUUUUCGAGCAGGGUAAGAAAAUACUUUUUUGAACAGUUCACUUUCACUAAUUUCCAAAUAUGCUCAUAUUAAUAUAAUUUCGACUUUUACUCUUGUCCAAAAUUGAAACCGCCACUCGAGUAUUUCAUGUUUAUUAAUAAAUAUAAAACUUUAUGGCAGUAGAAGAUUUUUAUCGUUAACUUUCUUCAUGAUUUUAUUGCCAUCUUCUUCUUUUUAUGAUAAAUUAAUAAAUAAAAAAAUUUAAAGACUGCACAACGAUGAACUCGAAUCCAGCAUGCAUGCAGAAGCCAAGUUGCAAAAAAUGAACUAGCAAGUUUGAAAACGCACAAAUAAUUAUCAUGCAUGCUCUUGUACACCCUAUUUUUCCUCAUAUAUAUGAUCCUCCUAAAUAUCGCCAAAAUCUUCCAAUUUACUAAAUUUUAAAUAAAGUUCUACCAAGCAACGCUAUAUGCAUAUAGAGGAAAUAAAUAAGAAUUAACACAAAAAAGAAAAGAAAAGAAAAAGAAUUACUAACACAAAAUCAUCCUAUCCAUCAACAUACAUAAAAUGCAUCAAAAGUUCAAAACAUAUAUAUGACAAUGCAAGACACUACUAACACAAAAUGUGAAUACACAAUGAAUUUUGUGAUAAUUAAAUUUUCAGCCCACUAUCUUAGCAUCAAAGGGGGAUUAAUCUAUACAUAUAGAUUAAGAGGAAUUCAGCUACAAGUAAAAUCUUGACAUCGAGAAUGAUAUAUAGUGGUGGGCACUAGUAAACGACGAUUGAGAUGAAAAACACAAUGAUAUGGAGAUUAAUACAAGUGCUUUCAAAGAGAGAAGAAAGUCUGCAGAAUGUUGAAAUGCAGGAGAAAGAGAAACCAACGCCAAAUAGUAAAUAUAUAUGAAACCAUUAAACAUUUAGUUUAGAUUAGAUUCAAUUUUAUAUAGUUUUUUAAAUUGGGGAUAUCAUCAGUACUGGUUUAAUUUAGAUUCGAUUUUAUAGAGUUUUUAAAAAAUGCACGGAAUUUAAUUUUAUAAGCCAUAAUGUUGUGACAAAAUGAAAACUUAUGCGCUUAAUAUUUGAAGUGGAGAUGAAGAUAUGGAAAUACUCAUGGCGAAUCCAAAAUUUGAUAAUGGAAUGAUGAAAAAAAAAAAAACGCUUCGGUGCCAGUGUCACUGUCACAUUGGUGAUCGAAGGAGCUCAUACCUCGUAGAUCCACCCAUGGAACACAAAAUAUCUUGUAGGCCCGAGUGUCGUAUCCGAUCCAAAUACUGACCCAGAUUUGACCCAAUUGAACUAUUCUACCCGAAUGUCAAGUGUUAGUGUCACUUCGAUAUAGUGUUAGUGUCAUUUUCGAAAUAGUGUCAUUUGUAAAAUAAAAUAGUGUUAGUGUCAUUUCAAGAUCGAAAUGAGUCAGGAUAGUCCAAUUGGGUCAGGAUUCGGUUCAAGUACAAUCCGGGUGUACAUGAGACCACCUCCCCAUAGAAUCAUAUAUGAUACACGACAAUUAAAUGACUAUACAUGUCCAUAUAUUCCUUGAUAAAAGUGGGAUAAACCUAAAUAUGGCAUAGUAUUAUUUUGUGGACCUUCACUAGAAUUCUCUUAGCUAGGUUAGAUGAUAUUUUAGUCGAUUGAUCAUGUUUUGUUGGAUGCAUAAACUAUUUAAUUUCACCAUUUAAAUUUAUUGUAGUACAUCCAUGCAUAUUAAUUAGUAAGCAUCUUAAAUAUCUUCUGAGGUUCAAAUUAAGCUACUCAAAUAUGAAUACGAGAUUGAAAGCGCUUCAAUUCAUCCCACUUAAAAUUAAAUACUACUAGUAUUUUCCCUCGUGCGAUGCACGAAAUUUAUUUUGUUAUAUAUAUAUAAUAAAAUAUAUAUACUAUAUAUAUAUAUAUAUAUAUAUAUAAUAUGUAAAUCAAUUAUAAUAGUUAUAAAUAUUUGAAAAAUUACAAGUACAAAUACUUUUUAUAAUUAAAAUAUUUGUAGUAGAAUAUAUGAUAAAAUAUGUAAUUUUCACAACGCUAGUAUUUUAUAUUUUGUAGAGUAUUUUCAUAUAAAUGUUAAACCAAACAUUAAAAGAAUAAAAAUUAAUUGUAAGCUAAUAAACAUACCACCUAGAUUUUGCAUACCGAAAAAGUUUAUUUCCCCAUCAACUAUUAUACAAAAAUACAUUUAAUUGCAUGUUAUAAAAAAAAGAGCAAUUAAAAAUAAAUAUCGUACUGAUUUUGAUAUUUAUGUCGAAGAACAAAUUACUCUCCUACGACUCCUCCAAUGUUGAAUCAACAUUUCGGUCGAUAUAAUUUAUUUCUUUAAAAAUGAGUGGGCAAAUUGUGCAUAUAACAUUACUAUGUAUAGUGUAUCCAACUAACCAUCAUUACAUUUUUUUUUAAUAUAAUAUGUAUGUCAGUUAAUGCAUCAGCUAGCAUCUAAAACAUGCAGAUUAAUUACUCAUUUCCCAUUAAUUUUCAAGAUUAGUGUUAAAAAUGGAUUAACAAAUUCAAGUAAAAAUAUAUAAAAAAAGAAUUUUUGUAAUGUUUAUGCAAUACCUAGCAUACAUUUGAAUUGUCUUUUAUGCGUAAACUUAUGAUGAAUGAGGUUAUUCCGAGAAAAAUGAAUGUUCUAAGUUAGAUCGUCAAAUUCUAAUAUGAAUUAUGUGAUAAUUUCACCAUAAAAAAUAUUAUAUCUAAAGCAUUUUCAUUGAAUAUGCAUUAUAUAUAUAUAUAUAUAUAUAUCAAUAUAUAAGUGAAUUACGGUAAUACAAGUGCCCAUCUUUUUGAUAUACAGUAAAAUACUUCUUCGAAUAUACAAUCUAAUUUUUCUACCUAAUUAUCUAUCUAUAGCAUGUGCAUUAUUUAGAGUAUCAAUUUGAAUUUAUAAUUUGUGAAUAUGGAUAUACAUAUAAAAUUAAAUAAAAGACCAUUCAAAUAUAGUUUUAGUAAUUGAUCGUUAGUUUUUAUAAUAUAUUAGUGGAUUUAUUUGAAUUUUUUGAAUGGGUUAAUGUGUAAGUGAGAUAGUGGGGUGAGUGGGAUAUAAUUUAUUUGUAACCUUCAUGUUGAAUAUAUUUUCAAAAUUGCCAUUCAAAUCAAUUUCAAAUUGAUUUGAAAUCAAUUUCUAAUUGAAAACUGAUGUUUUAAUAUAGUAUAGAUUACUGUAUAAAGUUUCUGAUCAAAAUUGGGAAUUCUCAAUUUAUGUAUCAGUUUGAAUAUGUAACAAUAUCGAGACAAUUAAUGUUUCGUCCAAUUCUGUUGAUUUCAUUAAAUUAUUAGUUCCAACUCGGAUUAUAGGAAAACAAAUUUAAAUGAUCUUAAGAGGUGAAGAUUUAAAACAGAUGAAGAUCUUUCUAUUUCAAGGUACAAGACAAAAUCACUUUAUGCUGGAAAGCUAGAUACAAAUAUUGUAACAGUAGGAAAAUAUCAUGGCAUUGAAUAAUGUAUGCUGGCUAAAUAUCACCUCGUAUCUCUUCUGAAUCGAACUGCCCUCUAGUAUAAGGAAAUUCAGAAGCAGUUUUUUGAUUUCUCAUUUCUAUAUAUUCAAUGGUGGAUAAAAUGAAUAGUUUUAUUUAUUUAUUUUUUGAGGAGAAACACUUUCAUUACAUUCAUAUAGACGUACGUGCAUUACCAAAAGUUCAUCACACAUAAUUUAUUUUGUAAUUUUGUUCAUUCCUCAUCUACAAUAAGUUAAUUUUGAUAAUUCCUCAUCCACAAUUAAGCAUUGAAUUAAUACAAGAAAAGAUCAUACUAGACAAGAAAUAUAAUUAGAUAAGUAGUCAAAACUUUGUUAACCGCGCCUCAUGCACUUAAUCAAACAAUUACGCAAUCCAACAAACUGUUAACAAAGACACCUACUAACACAGUAUGUCGAUACAUAAUUUCGUACAUCAAAAGGGGAUUAAUCUUCAUAUGUUUUAAGAUUUAGAGGAAUUAUUUACCCACGAAUGAUGAUCUGGACGUCGAGAACGAUAGUGGUGGGCGUUAGCAGACGACGAUUGAGAUGAAAGACACAAUAAUCUCCAUCCUUGAGGCGGUUGGCUGCAUAGAAAGCAGGCCAUCCCGCUUUCAUUCUGAAUCGAAUUCCACCGCUGUUCUCGUUCGACAGCGAUACCACCCAACUUCUCCCCUUGGGAUCAUUCAGAAUCACCCUCCACUGUUGCGGCCCGCCCAAAUUAUUCGCCCUCAAGAAUGGCACCGGAAUAUUCUGAAAUAUAUAUCAGCAACACACCUCAUCACUCAUCAUAAUAUAUACAUAUACAUAUACAUGAAUUGAUUGAUGAUUACCACUUUCGUCUUCUUCUUAGCAUGGAAAGGCUUCAUCCUCUUCUCGAAAUACUCUUUCGAGACCCCGUUCUUCUUGCUUCUCUGCAAUUUUAACAUAAUCGAAUUAUUAAUAAGUCAUUCUCAAUUAGAAAAAAAAAUAUAUACACCAAGUUAAUUAAUUAAUCAUUAGUUUUUCACCCAUGGGAUUUAGGGUUUCUUCUUCAUCUUCUUCUUCCUCUUCUUCUUCUUCUUCUUCUUCUUCUUCUUCCUUCUUCUCGUUGUGAAACUCCUUCUCGGUCAUGUUUGUGCCGAACACAGAGACGUUGAAACGCAGAUCAUCGGUGGGUUUGAAGAAGACGAACUCUCCGAUUGUUAAAGCGUGGCGCUCCACGAAUUCAGGCCAUCCUCGCUUCAUACAGAUCAGCCCAUUUUCGUGGUUUUUGCACAAACUCACGCUAAAUUUUCCGAUUCGGCUUUCCAGAAUCACUCUUCUCCAUUUCCGCGCUUCUACCUGCUUGGAAACAAUUGGUGGAAGGUUCUGCAAAAAUUUGAAAUAGAAAAUUCUUUAUUUUGGUGUGUAUUGUUGAAGCAUGGCGUAGAUGAAAUGAAAUGGUCGAAAUAAAUUUAUGAAACAUAACAUGAUGUAGAAGAAGCAAAUUAGAAACGAAAAGCUGACCAUUUUUUCGUGGAAACCAGGCAUCAUGACUUUCACAAAGUGCGUUGUAAUUGAGAGCUCAUGUCUUCCUUCCAUGGUGAAACUAAAGCAGAUGGAGAUGAAUACAAGUGGUUGAGAGAUAAUUUGCAGCAGGAGAAAGAGAGAUGCAAACCAAAUACUAGUGGAGUAUGCUAUGAGUAGGGUUUAGCUAGGAUAGUAGGAAUUUAUUGUUAUUGGUUGAGACUUUCACCAAUAUGGGGGAUUUGAGUAGUUCUGCUUUGAUAAAAUUUGCAGUAAACACAGAAAGGAAGAAGAUAGCUUACCCUUAAUUUAGGCAUGAUUUCAGAAACUUUGAUAAUAUUGAAACUGUUCUCAUUAUCGCUCUAUAUGCACACAAUUCCUAGAAUAGCAAUGUAGCAAUACAACAGUAGCGUAGCAUAGCAAAGACAAGGCUAAAGCUGCAACGUAAGUAAAGCAAAACAAACUAAACAGCUGGCAUUAGCAUUAGACUUGAAUAUGAAAGGCACGUGCUGGUGACUUCCCCUUCCCCGCCAACCCCCAGAAAUUCACCAAAAAUAUGGAUUUGAGCAAUCAACAUUCAAUAUCUUCACCAAAAAAAGGAAAUGUCAAGAGAAAUUGUCUUCUGUAAAUACCUUUAGGCGGCUUGAGGGUUGUACUGGUCCCGAUGAGGUGGCGAAAUCAGUGGGGAAAAAANNNNNNNNNNNNNNNNNNNNNNNNNNNNNNNNNNNNNNNNNNNNNNNNNNNNNNNNNNNNNNNNNNNNNNNNNNNNNNNNNNNNNNNNNNNNNNNNNNNNNNNNNNNNNNNNNNNNNNNNNNNNNNNNNNNNNNNNNNNNNNNNNNNNNNNNNNNNNNNNNNNNNNNNNNNNNNNNNNNNNNNNNNNNNNNNNNAAUUAAAUGUGGGUAGGUAGGAAAAAUAGAAAAUGUGAAAUAAAUGAAUUAAAUUUUUUUGCCUAAUUUUUUAAAAACGUGUCAUGCUUCGGUGGGACGGGAGGGAGUAAUAAAAUUACAUGAUAUAAAACAUAAAUUAUAUGAAAUUAAUGAUUAAAAAAUUACAAGAUAUAAAAUAUAAACUAAUGAAAUUAAUGACUAAAAAAAUUAUGGGUUAACGUAUAAUUUGAGAAAAAUAUAUAUUGAUAUAAUUGAAAAUCAGAAAAAAUUAAAAGGAGAGAAAAAAUAAAAAGAGUAUUUUUUUUGGAUAUGAGUUUAGUGUAAAAUGUUGAAGAUGACCUAAGAGCAUUUUUUAUACGUCUAGAUUCAUUUUUUUCAAUGAAUAAAUAAAAAAUCAAAAUAUUGUAUUUUUUUAGUAGAAGAACUCGCAAACACAUUCAGUUUUUUUUUCUCUUAUACAUUUAGUUUUAUACUGUUAUUGGAUAAUUAGUUUGGGAUAUAAGAUGAAAUAGUUUUGUCUAUUUAAUUUUGUGUUAAUAAUGAAAAUUACCUAUUUCAGUUUGUAAGGAAAAAAUAUUCAUUUUUUUAUAAUAUAUAAAAAUAGUUUUUUCUUCUGUCUCAAUUCAUUUUUACUUAUUCCCUUCAAUAUGUAUGAUGUGUUUCUUUUAUAAUUUUAAGAAAUAAAAUAGAAGUUUCCAUCAAACAUGAUGAAGAUUAAAACAUAUUUAUGGCAGAACUGAGAGAUUUGAAGUCAUGUAAAAAAUAGAACAUUCGAAUACAACAUAUGUGAAUAUGACCUUUUUUCUAAAAUGUUAAAAGCAACAUUUGUUCAUGAGAUUUCAUUUAUUUGUAGUAGCUAGCUAGAUACUAAAAUACUAGUAACAUUGAUUCUACUCAACUACCUAGUGCUGCUAUUACGUUACAAAUUUCGAUCAACAGCUGCCAACUUGGCCGGAUCCUAGGAAAACAAAUUUAAAUGAUUUCUUAAUUAAGAGAUGAAUAUUUAAAGUACAAGAAGAUCUUUCUAUUUCAAGCUACAAGACAAUACACUUUGUGCUAGAGAGAGAGAGAUGAUACAAUUGUAACAGUUGGAAAAUAUUCGAUUAAUCUGAUGUUUGUGGAACUCAUUGCUUCCAUUAUCAUGAUAACAGUGCCCCCUCCCUCUCUCCUUCUGCAACUCUAGAUUUCAACUAUUCUCAAAUGGCAGUUGGAACCAAAUUUGUGAACAUAAUGAUGCCCGAUCUCAUGGAAAGAAUGGUUACUUCUCUACCUUCCCUUUUAUUUCUUUUCCUAACGUUUUGGUUAUCGCAAAUUUUAAAUAAACUAACAUUUUGUAUAUGGCACUCAUGCAUCUCAAUAUUUUGCAUUGUUGCACAGAAGGUGCCAUCAGCCUACUGUGAGAAGCUAAAACAAGAGAAAUCAAGAAAGGCAGUGUUGAAAACUCCUAAAGGAAGUUGGGAAAUGAAGGUGCGCAGAGACGAUGAUGGUGACAUCGUCUUUGAAGACGGAUGGCCACGAUUUGCCCGCGACCACGCCCUGAACGACCGCGAUUUUCUAGCGUUCGAGCACACGGGCAAUCUGCACUUCGACGUCGUCGUCUGCGACGCCCGCACCGCCUGCGAGAAGAAACCUAUCGCGGACUGCAGGAAUGCUAUGCCGCAAAAUCAAGACAAAGGUGGUCUUAUCAAUUCAUUUUGCAAUUAUAAAAAUUAAUGAGAGAGUAAUAAUCUGUAUACUAUGUUGAUUAAAUUGCAGGGAAGGCAGAGAAGAAAGGUGUUAUUGAAUCCCAAAUUAUGCCGUCUUUCACCAUUGACAUAACACCUUAUAUCGUCCCCACUAAAUUUAAAAGUCCCGUAGUGGUAAUGUUUUCUUGUACUAGUAUUAAAUUAUGAUAUAGCUAUUCUAAAAUGUAGGAAUAGUUAAUAUCAUAUUUGGAAUGGAUAUAACAUGAAAAUAUUUGAUUGAAAUAAUGAUAAAAUGUAGCAUUAUUUGUUAAUUUGUUAGGGCCCGCUUGAUUUUCAGUAUUGGAUUAAUCAGGAUAUAAAUUAUCCUGAUAAUUUAGUGUGGAUUAGUCAUGAGUUAUAAUCUCAGAUGAGUGUUUGAUAUCAUUGGUAAUUAAUCCCAAAAAGUGUUUGGUAUCCAUUGAAAUAGGUUGGAUUAACAUAUCAAAUACCUAAAUUAGUAGCCUAUGGAGGGGGUGGAAUAAUUAGUGUGGGUUAAUCCCAUGGGGGAGAUGGGAUAAUUAGUGUGGGUUAAUCCCACAAAAUAAGCUAGGGUCUUGGGAUAAACCUGGAGUUGACCAUAUUAGUAACACAUAAUAUCAAACACUACAUAAAUCCAUAUUAAUUUAACUUAUCCUGCUUUUAAACCCAUAUCAAACAGGCCCUUAUAUGGUGCAGGGUAUCCCGGCGCAGUUUGCGAGGAGGAGCAAUCUGGACAGCAAAAAAAGCAUAAGUUUAAGGGACCCUAAAAACAGAAAAUGGCCCAUAAAUCUGAUAGUUAAACGCGAGCCCUACUUUCGCGUGUCCAUGUGUGGUGGGUGGCGUGACUUUUAUGCAGCUAAUGCUAAGCACCUCAAAAUUGGAGAUAAGUGCAUCUUUCAUCUCAACUCCACUUCCUCAACCUCCAAAACUGCAGCCCUUGAUGUGGAGUUUUAAUUUCAUCUAAAUCUUUUGGCUUUUAAUUUCAUGAUUCCAAUAUGUAUUAACUACUCUACUUAAUUUCAUGAUUCCAAUAUGUAUUAACUACUCUACUUAAUUUGUGGACUUUAAUGUCUUAUGUAUUUCCAUAUAUGCUUCUUAGGGUUUCAAUAUUAUCAUUUUGCCUUACUAUUUUAUUUUAUUUUUAAUAAAUUACACAAGUAAAUUAAGAAAUUUAUGGAUAGAUUAUACAUAGCUUUUAUUAAUGUGAGCAUUUCUCAAAUUUAAAUGUUUGAGUGCAUAGGCUACACAAAGAGGAAUUUCUAGAAGCUUAAAUCAUAUUUAACAAAAAAAUCUAACUUAAUUUAUCAUUUAUUCUGAUGAAUUAAUUAAUUAUAUACUUGCUUAACAUCUUAUGUUUCAAAUAUUCAAUCCAAUAAUUAUUAAUCAUUAAUCAUAAUACUCAAAGUAUACACCCGUAUGAAUUCACACUUAUACCUCGAUUAAUGCACUUAAUCAAACUACUACUACAACAAUAUAGCGAACCAACAAACUGUUAACGAGAAGAAGCUGAAUAUUUAUGGAAUAAAUUUCAUAAACUGGUUCAAUGUCAGUAACACAAGAUUGAGUUACAAGAUGUCUAAUAUUUCACCAAACAUAUAGCCAACACACAAAAAUGUCGCUGCAGUAUUCCCACAUAACAAAGCAAAUUAGAAGAGGGAAGUUCCUUUGCCCUUUUUGUCGCCACCGAUUUCAAAAUGCUUGCAUCUCUGCAAAGAAGAUGGUGAUUGCAGCCUCAUUAGCACAAAAAGAACAUAGAGAGAUAGAGAGAUCGAAACAGAUGUGCAGAAAUGAAGAGCAUACCUUGAUUGGGUGUUGGGAGACAUGCUUGCAGCCCUGGCAUUGCAGCCUCAACACAAUCUUCUUGGUUGUUUUGGCCUGCCCAAGAACAACAAGAACCAUAUUUAUUAACACUUCUAGUUCAAAAUCAUACUACUGAAAACCUAAGAGACUUACUUCAUUCUAUCAAACACUACUGAGCAUACUUGAUUGAAAUGGAAAUAGUUUGCUAAAACAUAGUAACAUGCAAGAAUUCACCUUCUUGUGGAAGACAGGCUUGGUCUGACCACCAUAACCUGACUGCUUGCGAUCAUAACGUCUCUUUCCUUGAGCAGCUAAACUAUCCUUUCCCUUCUUGUACUGGGUCACCUUAUGCAAGGUGUGCUUUUUGCACUCCUUUGAUUUGCAGUAAGUCUUUUUUGUCUUUGGAACGUUCACCUGCAAAUUUGAAAUCGGAAUAAAUCAAUAAAAGAUAUUCAAACAAAGGCCGAAUGGAACUGCAAAAGUCAAGCAUAAGCUGCAAUAGAACCAUGUACUAAAUCUUACACCAAGAUAAGAAGAUAGAAACAAUACUCUUCCUAAAUUUUCAAGCAAGUGAACAAAGUUGCUAUAUUACAAGAACAUCGACUGACAUGGUAUAAAUUCCCCAUCUGGAUCUUACCGAGUAUUUCUUGUUCAUGCAUUACUAGUAAACCAUGUAAAAAACACCCAAUUAGCUUCUGGAUUGAAUGAGUAGUUUCAGAGAAGAAAUUCCAUAUUUAUAAUGAGAUUAAAUAAGUUCACAAAUCGCAACUAAAUCAUGAUAGUGUUAGGCAAACGUGCAUUCAGCACUCGGAUCACAGAAAAAUCCAAUAUUAAUUUGUAUUGUUAGCUAACUCAAGCUUAAUGCACAUUUGCAUUGACAUUAUCAACAGAACCGUAACCGAAAACAAACACACAAUCAAAUUAUAAUAUGGCAAUGAUUAUUUACAAAGCAAAUCUAACAAAGUACCCAGUUCAACAAAUAUAUCUUCCACAAACUCAAUCCCGCAAGAAAAUUGACCAAAAUCAGAAGCUUUUCCCCAUCAAAGAUUUCCAACUAAAAUGAAUAGACGAUAAAACAACCUAUUACAUCAUACGAAACUAAACAAACGCCAUCGCAGAAAACUAGAGAUCUCGAGAAAUGAGAAGAAGGAGAUACCAUGGCUUACGGCUAGGAAGGUCUCUGUAAAAUUGCGAUUUGCAGC